Long non-coding RNA from Anastrepha ludens (Mexican fruit fly), 491 nucleotides. RefSeq lists it as uncharacterized. NCBI's taxonomy places the organism in Eukaryota, Metazoa, Arthropoda, Insecta, Diptera, Tephritidae. The transcript has 2 exons. The record is from RefSeq and is a predicted model, not a curated record.
CGAGUUCAGGAGUGGGAGAUAGAUGGACAGGACUCAAAACCUUUCUGUAUAUCUUUUACGAAGCUGAAAACGAUUUCGAAGAAACCAAAAAUCCCAAACGCAGCAAAUGACGAACAGAUUGUCGUAAAGUAGAGAAAAGACAAUGGCAGGAUUGCCCACAAAUGAGAUAUACAAAUGUGCAUAUGUUGGUGAAAAAACAAAAAGAAAAACAGUGAAACGAAUCAACACAUUCAAGGCAACUAACUACAUACACGCAUACAUAUAUACACAUACAUACACAUGUGAACGUAAUCAGCCAAAUUCAAUUCAACUGCAAAGGUACAAUUUUUAAGUUAGCUGACUCUGCUUCUUAGCUGUUAGCAAGCAACGAACGAAAAUUAAAAGAAGCAUACAUACAUACAUCUGAACGUAGAUACACAAACAUUGUUCGAAGGAAAGGCGAUGAAUGAGUGCCAGAGCCGUCAACAAUGUAGCGUACGAAUUGGAAAUAA